AGAGCAUACAAAGUAUACAACAAUACCUGUCUUUUUCUUGAUGAACGCUGCCUCACAGGUGAGGAUGAGGAUGAUGUAGCAGUCACAGGGGCAGGUGAUGAACUUUUCCUCACAGGUGAGGAUGAGGAUGAUGUAGCAGUCACAGGAGCAGGUGAUGAACUUUUCCGCACAGGUGAGGAUGAGGAUGAUGUAGCAGUCACAGGGGCAGAUGAUGAAUGCUGCCUCACAGGUGAGGAUGAGGAUGAUGUAGCAGUCACAGGGGCAGGUGAUGAACGCUGCCUCACAGGUGAGGAUGAGGAUGAUGUAGCAGUCACAGGGGCAGGUGAUGAACGUUUCCUCACAGGUGAGGAUGAGGAUGAUGUAGCAGUCACAGGGGCAGGUGAUGAACGUUUCCUCACAGUCACAGGGGCAGAUGAUGAACGCUGCCUCACAGGUGAGGAUGAGGAUGAUGUAGCAGUAACAGGGGCAGGUGAUGAACUUUUCCUCACAGGUGAGGAUGAGAAUGAUGUAGCAGUAACAGGGGCAGGUGAUGAACUUUUCCUCACAGAUGAGGAUGAGAAUGAUGUAGCAGUAACAGGGGCAGGUGAUGAACUUUUCCUCACAGGUGAGGAUGAGGAUGAUGUAGCAGUAACAGGGGCAGGUGAUGAACGCUGCACAGAAGACCAAAGACACAAAAAAAAUACCACAGAUGUAAACAAAAAGUAAAUAUAAAUGCUUGCUUAAUUCAAAGUGCAUUGAUUUAGUUUAAGGGCAAGACAAAUGCAUUUGGAACAAAUAAUGUUUAAAACACAAAAGGGAGGAGAAAAUAAUGUAGAAUAAUCUUUUGAAACACUGAUAAUAAUUUUAAAUCUUUUAGUUACCAAACAACUAUACAAAGCUUUUGCAAAAAAAGCUUGAAAAGCUUGAAGAGUUCUAUGUACAGAACAUACAGAAAGACAGUCAGAUAUCAAUACGACAACAGAUUUGAGAAAUGAGAGUACCUUGGCUUGCCAAUCCCAGUCUCCAUAGCUGUAAGUAAUCUCUUCUCCUGGUUUAAUGUCUCGGACAGCAAAAAAAGACAAAGAUGUGGUUGCUGCAGAUAUCAAGGUUAUAUUUUCACACAAUGUUCUUUACAUUAUGUAAGAUGAUUUUAUGUAUUUAAAAAAAAAGAAAAAAAAAGUAUAUCAGAAAGAAAUGACUUUAGCUGAAUUUGUACAUGCGUGUUCACAUUUCAUACAUAAAUAUAUUUGGAUUCUGUGCAUCUAUGGUUUAAAUAUACAAUACAUAUAAAAUAUGUCCCCAAUUUUCCCACUAGGGAAUAUCUGCGAUAAUAAUAAGUGAUCCAACCAUUAAACAACGAAAAUUAAUUAUUUUAAUUACAGUCUAUUACAGCUAAUUAACAGAAUAUUAGAAUACUUUACAACACCAUAUUUUGUAGAUAAUCAUAAUUUAUACUUAAUCGUUUAUUGACAGGAUUAUAUUACACAACACGUGACCCGUGAGAAACCAUUAACUCAACUUGACUCAAGUCCUAUUAAUAUGUCAUCUGACCAAUUAUAUCUACUAUCACAAAUGAUAUCCAUAAAGAAACAAAUAUCUGUACAACAAAUCAUCAAAUGGCAAGAAAGAUGCCAUUUAUUUGGACAAGGAAACAAAUUCCUUAACAUAAUAGAUACUUAUCAACGAAAUUAAAAUCCUACUAAAAUUUACCUUUAAUAUUUUCAAUUUCGUUGUCAUAAAUUAUAGAUCAGAAGCUGUAUUUACAGUAACGUUAUAUGAUCACAACUCACCUCUGCUCUUUAAUCGCUGCGUAGGUCUUUCGCGGGAAAUUGAGGAUAAAUGAGGUGAUGUCAUCGGCACGUGUCAUCCGCCGACAUGUGUAUGUAAAUGACGUUGUGACGUUUUUGGAUUGCACGUUGAAGUUGUGCGUCCGCAGGGGGCAAGGAAGUCGACCGGAAGUUGAAGUCGGCCGCGUGCCGCCAUCUUGUAGCAGAACUUCACUUGCGUUAGCACCCCAUUGACUCCCAUUCAUUUUUGCGUCACUUUGACAGCGAAUAACUUUACAUCUGAGGCGUUUAAAGACUCCAUUUGUCCAUUAUUUAUUUCUAAAGAUACACGACAAUGUAUAAAGGGCUCCAUUACCUUCUAUGUUACAUUAUGGCCCCGUAGAAACAGUUUUUGUAAAAAUAGGCUAACGAUUGCGUCAUAACCACUCGACUCUCUGUCGCACAGUAGAGAAAUUACCGUACAGACAGGAGGAGAAGCUCGCAGGCAAUCGGGGAGACGUCAAGAGAUAUGGCGUACUGGCAUUAUAUUUUAAAAUACUAUACAAAAUAAUUAAUCAGAAUACUUACUCCUGCUCACUCACGCCAAAGAACUCCCCGCUCAAACUCGCCGUCUCUGCAAGAUUAACGAUGGCAGUUUGCACGCACAGCUACUAGAAGGUUUACAUCUGUCAGACAGGUUGCUGACGUCAUCAAGCUUAGUUUGAGUCUGCGCGUCAGAAACGGAAGUUCUAAAAAUCGCUAAAAACGGGCUUCACUUGUCUCAAUUGAGUUCCAAUGGGGUCGCUGUGUCCAUUUCUUUUACUGUCUAUGUGCGUCCGUCUAUUUGUAUUUAAAAUAAACAGCAGUAAAGCACUUACACCUCAUAAACACCUUUUCCUAUCAAUUAAUUACUUAACAAAGCUGUAAAGAGACGCCUAAAAUAUAAAGCAAAAAAAAAAUAAUAAUAAUUAUAAAAGCGAAUACAUCUUGUGUUGUGUUCUUCCAGCUGUAUUGCGCAGACCGAACGUCACGUGACAGACAAUUAUCGCGAGUGUUCCGAUUCAGUUGCUGGUUACAGAGAGAUCUCUUGUUAAAAGGCAGAGGUUUUCUUCUUAAAGCAGAAGUUCUAUUAUGAUUAACAUAUGUUUCCAUAUAGGUGGAGAAAUCCACGUGUAAAUUAAUUUAUGGCAUCAUAAACAUUUUAUGGUAAAACAAACCUCAUUAGGCUAUAAUACAAAUUAUAAAUUCUAACCAAUGUGGUUUGAACAUUAGUAAUUUCAAUCAUUUUAUUAUUACAAUUAAAUAAACUAACUUACCUUCUUAACAACACAUUUAAUUCUCACAGAUUGGUGGCAUUUGUUUUUUUAUGUGUAAUUAUGAUAUGCAAAAAUCUGUAAAAUCUAACUUUCACUCAGGUGCUUCAAGCAUAGACGCUCAUCUACAAGUAUAACUUUUCUCCCCAUAGAUUUUACAUCUAGAACAAUAAGAAUAGGAAAGGGAUAUUACAAAACAUUGUGUUAAAGGGUUCAUAUGUUGCUAAAAAAAGAACAUUAUUUUUGUGUAAUUGGUGUAAUGCAAUGUGUUUAUGCAGUUUAAGGUAAAAAAAACACAUUAUUUUCCAUAUAAAGUAUAUUAUUGUUUCUCCUCUAUGCCCCCUCUAUGGAAAUGUUACGCCCCUUAACAUACUGUGAUGCGUGUCCCAGCACGACGAGACAAAACCAAUAAAACCCAUUACAAACAAGGCAUUUGCUGCAUCCAGUGGGGACAUAACUACUGAUUAUAAUGACUUAUAAUGUCUUUUUUCAUGUUGCGUAUCGCGCUGCGUAAACAUAAAACCAUGUCUGCAUUUGUGAUCGGAGAAACAACAAACAACAAGUGCUACUCUACACUGCUUAAAACUCACGUUUGAAUCAUCAGUGGCACAGUCUUUAAAUAUGUAAACGUACUUACAGUCUGUGAGUCAGAAGCACCAGACUGUCCUUGCAAAGUUGGAACUGCCCCACUUUAUAGAAACAUACACCGGUAUUGUAGUCUAAUCUCACAGGAAACAGUCCUCUGUAAAAUACACUGCACACAUCUGAAUAUUAGGGUUGGACUGUUCUGGAACAGUGUUGUAAUUCAACUUAUCCACUGAUUUCUAGUUGUGUCCUCAUUUGGAAGACCAAACAAGGUUGCUUCUCUUUCACAAUGAAACACACAGCGACUCCACGAUAUGGUGCCGGCGGCAACAGAGAGAAUAAAAGUUAGACCUUCUUUCUUUGCGUGGGUGGCGUUAUGCAAAUCUUCCCACAUCGUGACGUAGACAUGUGGGGCGUGUUAGAACGAGGUAUUUUAGGAGGACGUGGUUGAGUCUUAACUAUUUCAUACUAUUCAUUAAUGAAUGUCUGCUUUUUAGGUAUACAGCAUUUAAUUUAGAACUGUGGCCAAAAGAAAUUAUGAAAACAAUAUUAUCACAAUAUCUAUGACAGUUAAAAAUAAUACUUCUGUCAGUCAAAUUAAUUUCAGAUUUGGUUUAUUUUGUGUUUUCUCACAUUCAGUGUACGAGUGUAGAGAGGCAGAGAGUUUGAUACUGUGGUCCUUCAGGUAAAAUGUUAAACAGGUAAUAAACCAUCAUCUACUAUGAUGACGUGUCAACCAGAUACUGCGACAAUUAUUUACAGUAUGUAUUUGUAGUAUUAUAUUAAUGAUCAAUUAUCAUGAUUUUGAUCCUUAAUUGCAUUCUCAAAAAGGAUUUAAAACAUAUGCAUGACCAAUAUUGUCUUGACCUUAACUGAUAUGUAGUGUUUUAAUUGGAAUAAAGCCAGCUUCCACUAUUAUUUCUUAAAUUAAGUCCUACUUAAAAUAUCGGAAACAAACAUAUUCCUUACAAAUUGUAUAAUAAACAAAAAGUUCUAAAAGUAUUACAAAUCAGCUGACACAUUCACAUUUGGUGUAGAAAUAAUGUUUUCUUGACUUGAUUAGAGUUCAUCCCAAAGCUGCUGAAGUGAAGUUAGAAGAGUUUGUGUCAGUGUCUCUCGCCCUUCCCCCACCUCAGCUGAUCACCCCUCCCCCACACAGCAGCACACACACUGUUGAGCUGUUU
Molecule: long non-coding RNA, 4827 nt
Organism: Cyprinus carpio carpio
Lineage: Eukaryota; Metazoa; Chordata; Actinopteri; Cypriniformes; Cyprinidae
Source: Ensembl